CAGUAGCCGCGGUAAUACGUAGGUGGCAAGCGUUGUCCCGAAUUAUUGGGCGUAAAGGGCUCGUAGGCGGAUUUUUAAGUCAGGGGUGAAAUCCCGAGGCUCAACCUCGGAACUGCCUUUGAUACUGGAGAUCUUGAGUUCGGAAGAGGUUGGUGGAACAGCUAGUGUAGAGGUGAAAUUCGUAGAUAUUAGCUAGAACACCAGUGGCGAAGGCGGCCAACUGGUCCGAUACUGACGCUGAGGUGCGAAAGCGUGGGGAGCAAACAGGAUUAGAUACCCCCGUAGUCCCUGUCUCUUAUAC
RNAcentral lists this ribosomal RNA (301 nucleotides) under uncultured bacterium. RNAcentral's name for it is "partial 16S ribosomal RNA". It matches the Rfam family "Bacterial small subunit ribosomal RNA", at positions 509 to 807 of the family's 1533-position model. The record is from RNAcentral.